This is a long non-coding RNA of Sapajus apella (tufted capuchin), 204 nucleotides long. RefSeq lists it as uncharacterized. The transcript has 3 exons. The record is from RefSeq and is a predicted model, not a curated record. NCBI's taxonomy places the organism in Eukaryota, Metazoa, Chordata, Mammalia, Primates, Cebidae.
UGAAUGUGAAGGUGGUUUUUGGCAAUAUGGUUAUUUUCACAAUGCUGAUUCUGUCAAUCCAUAAGUAUGGGAUGUGUUUCCAUUUGUUUGAGUCAUCUAUCAUUUCUUUCAGCAGUGUUUGGUAGUUUUCCUCGUAGAGGUCUUUUGACUCCUUUGUUAGGUAUAUUCUUAAGUAUUUUUUUUGCAGCUGUUGAUAAAGGGGUU